CCUACGGGAGGCAGCAGUGGGGAAUCUUGCGCAAUGGGCGAAAGCCUGACGCAGCGACGCCGCGUGAGGGAAGAAGGCCUUCGGGUUGUAAACCUCUUUCAGGGGGGAAGAAGCCAGAGUGACGGUACCCCCAUAAGAAGGACCGGCCAACUACGUGCCAGCAGCCGCGGUAAUACGUAGGGUCCCAGCGUUGUCUGGAAUUAUUGGGCGUAAAGGGCUGGUAGGCGGUCCGUCCAGUCGCCUGUGAAAUCUCAGGGCUCAACCCUGAGCUUGCAGUCGAUACUGGCGGACUUGAGGCAGGUAGGGGAGAGUGGAAUUCCCGGUGUAGCGGUGAAAUNNGCAGAUAUCGGGAGGAACACCAGUAGCGAAGGCGGCUCUCUGG
RNAcentral lists this ribosomal RNA (382 nucleotides) under uncultured bacterium. Its description in RNAcentral is "bacterial SSU rRNA". It matches the Rfam family "Bacterial small subunit ribosomal RNA", at positions 338 to 732 of the family's 1533-position model. The record is from RNAcentral.